Molecule: long non-coding RNA, 1402 nt
Filed under: Sus scrofa (pig)
Lineage: Eukaryota; Metazoa; Chordata; Mammalia; Artiodactyla; Suidae
Description: lncRNA (ENSSSCG00070009329.1)
Source: RNAcentral
AUGUUUUCUUUGUAUGUUCUUUGCUGUAGGUACGAGGAUCCUGACAAGUGCCUGAUUCUCUAUGGUGAUGACCAGCAUCCAGACCUGGAAUUCCCCAAGUGGACGCUGGCACAGGGAUGGGACAGGCGAGGAAACCCCACCCCCACCCUCACCACGGUCAUCGUGCCCUUGUGGUCAUCAGCACCAGGGGACUGUUAUAUCGGGCUCCUGGGCUUGCUCUGCCCACCGUGCUGCAGCCCUGGUGACUGGCAGCGGUCCAGCAGAAGUCAGGGAGGCGAAGCCAGGGCCUAUCCAGGUGACAGUGCCUGUUCAUCAUAAUGCAGGUUCAUUGGUAAAAAUGCAAAUGACUCAUUUCACUUCAUCCCUCUGACAGACUGCUGGUAGCAGUAACUGGCUGCUCCCUACACCUGUCAUCACUGCCGCACUGCUCACUUUGUGUAAAGGGCCUGCCACACUUCAGUGUAUAUAUAGCAACCAUCAUUACAGCCGCCUAGUGGAAACUUGAUCAUUCACUGCCCCCUAGUGGACUUGGAGUGAACAGGCAUAUAUGGCUGUGUUCCUUUGAUUUAGGUUCUAAGCAAAUUCGAGUUGCCUUUUGUUUCAGGAAGAGUUUUGGGGGUCUGCUGCUUUAAUCGUCAUUGCUCGUGGCUGUGGUUCUUAAUUAACAACACUUUAAUGAGAUAAAAUGUCAAUCGUGGGUGGCUCUUUAUGGAGCUAUAUUUGAAUGUUCAAAAGUCAACAUUUUCAAACAGUAAUGAGUCUUCAUCUGAUGCUCAUUUUAAAAAUCGAAUUUUAUUUAGGCUGAAAAAAAACUUAAAAUGAAGGUAGCCUUAAAGAGUUCAUGUUGCCAUCUAGCAAAGUGAUGAGUUGUGCUCCAGAGGGAAAUAAGUUCAGAAGCAUUGGCUGUGCCUGUCUCACCUAACAUCGCCUCACCAUCCUUCAUCGGCUUUCAGAGUCUUCACAGUUUGGAAUCAGGGAUGAGCAUAAGGGAAGCUACACUGGCAACAUGGCGACAAAAGCAAGGGAAACUCAGUUCAUCAUCAUCAUAUCACAAAGGCUGUCUCCACGAGCGACUUUCCUUGGGCUUCUUCUUUUGUUGCAUCUAGCCCAGGCUUGUGCACUUGAAGAUCAUUUGAUAAUAUUCAUCAGUGUUAUGUUCAGCAUGCUAACCGGUUUCUUAAGAAGGGCAGUAAUCUCCUUUUAUACCCUUCUGAGCUAUUUGCUCUUGACAAGAACUUGAAAGAUUUGUAAUCAUCUCAAGAGUUCAGCGACUUCAUUGCUCUGACCUCUUGGCAUAUCUGCUGCUAGAAUAUUAUUGAUACUAGAAUAACUCCCUUUCCAUCAUCAUAAAGACUCUUGCCAUAAAGAUCUCCAUCAAUAAAGUCAAGGUCAACUGUGUCCA